UCUUAAAUUGGGUCUUGUAAGGUACAUCUGUAUGAACCUGUAUUUGUGCUUUAGGCAUUUAGCAGAAGAGCUGAAAGUCACCCAGGAAACUGGCAAGUAAUGAAUCAAUCAAGACUUGUUCAUGAUCAAUAAAAGAUUGGACUAAUUAAAUUUAAGGUUAGGUCUGCAGUCCAGCUCAGCAUGAGAUGUACCUCCAUGAAAACCCACUUUCAAUCUUGAUGUUACCUCACUAAGCACCAAAUCUUGCCUCAUGCAAACCUCUGGACUUGGAUGAAAUCGGCCCAUGGGAGCAGAGGUGAUUCAGCAGCUGGCUACAUUUUUCAAAUAUUACUCCAGAACUCCUAACAGGACACCUCAUCACAUGACUGAACAGGAUGUUUUGCAUGUUUCCAGAAAAAUGUUUGACCUUGAUAUCUGGCCAAUAAAUAAAGUGCAGAAUGCAAGACAAUAUGUGAUUUUGCAUCACUGAAGUGUCUUUUCCAUAUCUCAAUACUAAGGAGUACAUGUGAGUGGGGCGAUGAUGAUCUCAGCAGCUCUCUUAUUCACAGGAGCACAGCAGCUAGCUCCGGAUGUGUGAUUUGGGAGACUUUUACACGCUACCUGACACAACUUCAAAGGGAUUUGUGUCUCCUCCCGGGAUCAAACUAAGGAUCUUUGUGUCAUUAAACGAAUGUGCAAAUCUCUACACCAUAGCGCCACUACUUAAUUCUCUAAAAUAUAGCAAACUGUCAAUCUUAAACAAACUUAAAGCAUCAUCAUCACAAACAUGAAAUAAAUGAAGGUAAAGACAUGAAACAAAUAUUUGUCUGACACCAUUCAAAGUGUUAGUUUUUAUCAUGGGGUCAAAUCCUGAAAUUACUUCCCAUAAAGCAACACAUUUAAAAUUGCGUAUGUGCUUAAAAAACAAACAAACAAACCACACAUGGCCAGACAGUAACAACUAUUUAUUAUAAACACUGUACAUCACAGAGAUCCUAACCAUUGAUCCACAUGUACACUACAGCUAACAACACUGAUCUGGUGUGGACUCUUCAUUGACCUUUUAAAAAAAUAUUUUUUUCAACACAUACAUUGGA
This is a long non-coding RNA of Oreochromis niloticus (Nile tilapia), 1076 nucleotides long. RefSeq lists it as uncharacterized. The record is from RefSeq and is a predicted model, not a curated record. The transcript is spliced from 2 exons. NCBI's taxonomy places the organism in Eukaryota, Metazoa, Chordata, Actinopteri, Cichliformes, Cichlidae.